UAUCUGAAUUUGUGAUCGGAGCAGGGCUAAUUUUUUUCACAAAGGAGCAUAUUAUUAUGGCAUUAAGUGUUGAACAGAAAGCUAAGAUUGUGGCUGAGUUUGGUCGCAGCG
RNAcentral lists this non-coding RNA (111 nucleotides) under chicken gut metagenome. RNAcentral's name for it is "Ribosomal S15 leader". It matches the Rfam family "Ribosomal S15 leader". Rfam says of the family: The E. coli Ribosomal S15 gene 5' UTR can form two alternative structures. One that is a series of three hairpins, The other includes a pseudoknot. The record is from RNAcentral.